Non-coding RNA from Camelina sativa (false flax), 513 nucleotides. The record is from RefSeq and is a predicted model, not a curated record. NCBI's taxonomy places the organism in Eukaryota, Viridiplantae, Streptophyta, Magnoliopsida, Brassicales, Brassicaceae.
GUCUGUGAGAUGAGAAGAAGACAAAUCCUCUGAGAGGCGUUUAGUUUAAAGAAGAACAAGAACCUUAUGGAGAUGGAAUGUCAUGUCAUCAACUUCGAUUUCAAUGUCGCUAGAUUUCUCAGCAGAAGCCAUUAAUGGAGUGGAGGAGACAGCGGUGAGGAAAAGAAAGCUCUGAUCACUUACUGAGGCAGAAGAAACCAAAGAGCCAAUCUCUUUCUAAAGAAGGAAUAUGGAGAGAGAACAAGAGGGGUAAAGGAGGGGAAGGAAUCCUAAAUCAUGAGAAAGAGACACUUUAAAAAACAUUAUUCGGAUUUCGAAAAAGGGGAUCUCGUUUUUGAUCCAUCUUUUUAUUUUUUUCUUUUUCUUCUCUUUAGUUUUAGUAUUUAAUAAAAUUUUAAAUGCGAGUUUAGUUGGAGAACAGCAAGAAUCUCAACUACUGCUACUACUCUAGAGACGACACAUUUUCAGAUAAAUUACGCGUUGGGAGUAGCAAAAUCUCCACUCAUUUGUUAA